Long non-coding RNA from Gymnodraco acuticeps, 396 nucleotides. RefSeq lists it as uncharacterized. The transcript has 3 exons. The record is from RefSeq and is a predicted model, not a curated record. NCBI's taxonomy places the organism in Eukaryota, Metazoa, Chordata, Actinopteri, Perciformes, Bathydraconidae.
AGAGCCCUAGAGAGAUAAUAGGGCUCUGGUUCACAUUAGAAACAUUCACGUCAGUUUGAGCGGUCUCCUCCUGCGAGCUACAGCUGUCUGUAUGUCUGCUACAGGAGUUUAUGGAUUAAUAUCGGGAUCGUUUUACAUCUACACGUUAAAUAUGAGCAUCGGGACGUCAACAAAGAACAGAAGACUUGAGAUCUGAGCACCAGUGGACAGUGAGGACUAUGGAACAGAAGAUGUGAUGGCUUUGUGUGGAAAGCUGCUGGCCUGCCUGUGUCCCUCUCAUCAGUCUCUCCAAGCAGCACCCAGCUAUUCUUCCAUCUUGCAGAUGAAAAGACUUUGAUAUGGUGUGAAACCAGGCAGAGUGAGUGACAUGGUGUUCAUUUCCACUAUGCCAAAGCA